This 370-nucleotide transfer-messenger RNA is filed under the name Salinibacteraceae. Its description in RNAcentral is "Salinibacter sp003023365 Standard tmRNA". It matches the Rfam family "transfer-messenger RNA". Rfam says of the family: Bacterial tmRNA, also known as 10Sa RNA or SsrA, is named for its dual tRNA and mRNA-like properties. Its role is to liberate the mRNA from a stalled ribosome. To accomplish this part of the tmRNA is used as a reading frame that ends in a translation stop signal. Lineage: Bacteria; Pseudomonadati; Rhodothermota; Rhodothermia; Rhodothermales. RNAcentral also lists the same sequence under 1 other name. The record is from RNAcentral.
GGGGAUGACACGGCUUCGACGCGUAGUAAGCGUGCAGCGGACUGUCCUGCCGAGCAUCCUGAUACGCUCGUAAAACCUGUCAGGAACUCGCAACUGCGGACGACUAUUCGUACGCGAUGGCGGCGUAACAGCCCCCAUCUGUCCUGCGUCGCUCCUGACCCUUGGGGAGCGUAGGACAUCGACAAAAAGGGUGUAGUCGCCGCGUUCUCCGGCUGAGGACGUGUUGGCGAACCUCAAUCAGCCUUUGCGCCGCCCUGGCCUCGUGGAUGGGCAGACGGGAGGCGUAAGUACCUAAUGCAUCCGCUAUGCAGGUAGAGGUUCGACCUGUACGGCUACGCGGACCCGGGUUCGACUCCCGGCAUCUCCACAA